Molecule: unclassified non-coding RNA, 1257 nt
Filed under: Melitaea cinxia (Glanville fritillary)
Lineage: Eukaryota; Metazoa; Arthropoda; Insecta; Lepidoptera; Nymphalidae
Description: misc RNA ENSMCXG00005012320.1
Source: RNAcentral
ACCCGUUACUAUUGCCGCUUUCGUUCGGUUACUAUAUUCAUAAAACCAAUUGUUUUGUUUACGAACCGUUCUAUUUCGAACACCAAUUGUUUGUAAUUUAACCGUGCAUCACUAUAACGAAUUGUUGUUUAAGAUAGGAACUGAGCUAACCGUUUCUAUAUUUAAAAAUCAUCGCACGCUUAUGUCACGUUAAAAAUUUAACGGUUUGUAGCGAAACGAAUCGUUUUCUGAAUAUUGUAACCCUGCCUAAGUCUCCGUUCCUAUACUCAAAAACAACUAAUGAUUAAGUCGGGUUCUAAAUUUAACGACUCGUAAGCAAAAACAAUCGUUUUGUAUACAGGAACCGGGUUUAGAGAUAGAGAUUUAAGAUUUUAAGAUACAUACAUUACAAGACAUUUAAUUUAUCUAAAUAGCAAAUAAUUGGACUCAUAUUAUUGCUUAAAAAUUAAUACCUAGGAAGACGAGUCUGAUACGUUUAUCUUAAUAUAUAAUUACAUUUAUUUGCUUUAUAUGUAAAGAGAACUGUUUUAUACAAGGCCGUCAAGGCCUGUCUGAUUUACAUACUUUUUAAUUAUUGAAAGACUGUCAAAUGUCAAAUCUGACGUUUGAGUUUUUCUUCAUCUUUUAUAAUUGGACUCCUAUAGGAAUUGGCAAAGUCAGAGUGUUUUCCCUGAAUUACUUUUGAAGACUCUGCUUAUAAGAUUAGCGUUGUGAUAUACUACAAGGUUAUGUACGGUUUGCUUCACACCACUUAUUCGUGUAGACGUUUGAGUUUGUCAGUUGUUGGUGCAAUUUAAAUUUAACGUCAAUGAUGUUUAGCACACAAAUGAUUUAAAAUCAGUUUUUUAUUAUUCAAACGAAUAUUUUUUGAGCGGCCGGGCUUAGUUGGAGGGACGUGGAGCGAGAGGCACAGGACAGGAGCGGAUGGAGACGUCUCACGAGGGCCCUUUGUACCACUGGGGUACCUUAGGACAGCAACACAACACACAUAUUGGUACGCUUAUAAAUUUCGAAUGACGAUUGAAUCAAAAUGGCGACAAUUGGAUCAAAUUAGAUUUUUGACAAGGUUUAUAUAAAAGACAUAUGGCUUUACGAAUCUAUAUAAGAUUUGCUGACCCAGCCGAAUAAAAAUGAGUCAUAAAAUGGGUACCCUAACGCUAAACUUAAUAAACUGCUGGAUAAAUUCUACCUGUGUUUAGUUCUCUAAAACUUUGUUGAUGGUUCUUAUGUAAUUUAAAAAAAUAAUAAUAAUAAUAA